GUAGUUAGCCGUGGCUUCCUCCUUAGGUACCGUCAUUAUCGUCCCUAAAGACAGAGCUUUACAAUCCGAAGACCGUCAUCACUCACGCGGCGUUGCUGCAUCAGGGUUUCCCCCAUUGUGCAAUAUUCCCCACUGCUGCCUCCCGUAGGAGUCUGGACCGUGUCUCAGUUCCAGUGUGGCCGAUCAGCCUCUCAGCUCGGCUACCCAUCGUCGGCUUGGUGGGCUGUUAUCUCACCAACUACCUAAUGGGACGCGAACCCCUCUUAUAGCGAUAAAUCUUUGACCUCUGUACCAUGCGGCACUGUGGUCUUAUGCGGUAUUAGCACUUGUUUCCAGGUGUUAUUCCCCACUAUAAGGCAGGUUGUUCACGCGUUACUCACCCGUUCGCCACUAAGAUAUCAUGUCUUCCAUCCGAAAACUUCUAACUCAAUAUCUCCGUUCGACUUGCAUGUGUUAGGCACGCCGCCAGCGUUCGUCCUGAGCCAUGAUCAAACUCUGA
RNAcentral lists this ribosomal RNA (499 nucleotides) under uncultured bacterium. RNAcentral's name for it is "partial 16S ribosomal RNA". The record is from RNAcentral.